GACGAACGCUGGCGGCGUGCCUAAUACAUGCAAGUAGAACGCUGAAGGAGGAGCUUGCUUCUCCGGAUGAGUUGCGAACGGGUGAGUAACGCGUAGGUAACCUGCCUGGUAGCGGGGGAUAACUAUUGGAAACGAUAGCUAAUACCGCAUAACAGUAGAUGUUGCAUGACAUUUGCUUAAAAGUUGCAAUUGCAUCGCUACCAGAUGGACCUGCGUUGUAUUAGCUAGUUGGUGCGGUAACGGCUCACCAAGGCGACGAUACAUAGCAGACCUGAGAGGGGGAGCAGCCGCCCUGGGACGGUGACACGCCACAUACUCACUGGGGAGGCAGCCGUAGGGAUACUGCGGGAAUGGGUGGAAGUCUGAGCGCGAAACGCCGAGGGAGUGAGGAAGGGUGUCGGGUCGUAGAGCUCGGUCGUAAGAGAAGAACGCGUGUGCGAGUGGAAAGAUGACACUGUGACGGUAUCUUACAAGAAAGGGACGGCUAACUACGUG
RNAcentral lists this ribosomal RNA (495 nucleotides) under uncultured bacterium. RNAcentral's name for it is "partial 16S ribosomal RNA". It matches the Rfam family "Bacterial small subunit ribosomal RNA", at positions 28 to 507 of the family's 1533-position model. The record is from RNAcentral.